AGGUCGGGGCUGGGCCCUACGCACUUUGCGUAGCGAGGGGGGUUACCAAAGGCCUGGUACUUGGCCUUGGACCAGCCCAGCCUAUCCCCUGUAGGGGGAGUGGGUGAGUAGCGAGGCUAAGGAAGACAGAAGGCGAAUUGGGGCAGUUUAGGGGAUUAUAGUUUCUUUAAAAAACCGGAUUGGGAGAGGCCAUGGCCGUUCCCGCCAAGAAAAGGAAGAUGAAUUUCUCUGAGCGUGAGGUGGAGAUCAUCGUGGAGGAGCUGGAACUGAAGAAGCACCUGCUGGUGAACCACUUCAACGCCGGCGUCCCUUUGGCUGCCAAGAGUGCGGCGUGGCACGGCAUUCUGAGAAGGGUCAAUGCCGUGGCCACCUGCCGCCGGGAGCUGCCCGAGGUCAAGAAGAAGUGGUCCGACCUCAAGACCGAGGUCCGUCGCAAGGUUGCGCAGGUCCGGGCGGCCGUGGAGGGUGGCGAGGCCCCAGGGCCCACUGAGGAAGAUGGAACAGGUGGGCCCGGGACAGGCGGUGGCAGUGGCGCUGGUGGCCCCGCUGUAGCCCCUGUACUGCUCACCCCCAUGCAACAGCGCAUCUGCAACCUGCUGGGCGAGGCCACCAUUAUCAGCUUGCCCAGUACCGCAGAGAUCCACCCCGUGGCCCUUGGACCCACAGCCACUGCAGCCGCCGCCACGGUCACCCUGACACAGAUCCCCACAGAGACCACCUAUCACACGCUGGAGGAGGGAGUGGUAGAGUACUGCACAGCUGAGGCCCCCCCACCCCUGCCGGCCGAGGCGCCCGUGGAGAUGAUGGCCCAGCAUGCUGACACCUCGGUCAAGCCGCAGGCGCUCAAGAGCCGCAUAGCCCUCAACUCAGCCAAGCUGAUCCAGGAGCAGCGGGUCACCAACCUGCACGUGAAGGAGAUCGCCCAGCACCUGGAGCAGCAGAACGACCUCCUACAGAUGAUCCGUCGCUCCCAGGAGGUGCAGGCCUGCGCCCAGGAGCGCCAGGCUCAGGCCAUGGAGGGCACCCAGGCAGCCCUGAGCGUCCUCAUCCAGGUCCUCCGGCCCAUGAUCAAAGAUUUCCGCCGCUACCUUCAGAGCAACAUGCCCAACUCCGCCACCGCCUCAGAGCCUGGACAGGUGGCCCAGAACGGGCAGCCAGACAGCAUCAUCCAAUGAGAGCAGGGGGCAGGCCAGCCUUCUGCUGUGAAUGGAUGACACCGUGGAGGUCUUUUCCAAAACUCGGUGCAGGAAACAGCCUCCAUCGCAUCACGCCCUGGACUGCCUUGUCGCAGUUCUCGGCGCCACGUGUUCUCGCGAGAGCCUCACUGACUGGUUGGGUGAAUCCGAAGGCCUAAUUGGCCCUGAACGUCUGCGGUGGGAGAACUGAAACUGACCCAAGAAGUGGGACCUCUGACAUCUGUGCUCGAAGGAGAGCCAACCAACCUCGGAGUGCUGGAGGAGGUGGUAUUCCCUGUUCUGUUUUGACGCUUUCUCCCCAUUUGUAAGGACUUUACCCAGCUGGCAUCUGUCUUGUUUCAUUUACAGAAUCGCCAUCAGUUACUGAGACCCUUGCAGCUUCCCCCGUUCUCUCCCAAGUUUGCCAUUUUGCUGCCGAGGAGGUCUUGGCCACACGUUGACCGCUGGUUACAACUCAAGGCUCCAGCUCUCAGCUAAACAAAGAAGGUGCUGCCCUUCUGGCGUACGUCUAGAAUCGCCCAGCUCCACUGUGGCAGUUACGGGAAGAUGCCCCGAGGACGGUUGGGAGGUGACUCUUCUAGCGUCAUCCUUAUUAUGGGGGACGAGGGCGGUGCCAGCUACAGAGCAAAGGAAAACUCUUCUCAGUGACUGGAAAGCAGCAGCCUCCGGCCACUUGGGCGUCCUCCCUUCAUGGAGCCUGAUGGCCCCUGAACUUAGGAAGUUCGGGAAAUUCCUGAGGGGUUUGCAGCUUGGUUUGGUUUUUCUCUGGGGUUGGCAAUCUGAGCCAAUAUUGUGUCUGUUCCAAUUGGGUAUAAAGAGGAAGUUUGGAU
RNA transcript from Budorcas taxicolor (takin), 2026 nucleotides. It is a transcript of the gene named nuclear apoptosis inducing factor 1, with no coding region annotated. The record is from RefSeq and is a predicted model, not a curated record. Lineage: Eukaryota; Metazoa; Chordata; Mammalia; Artiodactyla; Bovidae. The transcript is spliced from 3 exons.